GUAUUGAUCCUGAAAGAUUGCUUUGCAAAAGGUCUAGAAUAUGCAAAGACUGUAGCUUGCAUAACUCAAUUGGUUAGGACCUUCAAAUGAAUUUCCAUUGAGAACAAGAAUCUCCAAAGAUAUAAUGAGGUCCACGAUGAUGAAGGAGUUCAACGAGUCCAAGAUCAGUCCAAACGGAGUCCAGAUGGUGAAGUUACGUGUGAGAGAAGCUAGCAUGG
This 218-nucleotide long non-coding RNA is filed under the name Elaeis guineensis (African oil palm). Its description in RNAcentral is "long non-coding RNA (EGUI_LNC072333)". Lineage: Eukaryota; Viridiplantae; Streptophyta; Magnoliopsida; Arecales; Arecaceae. The record is from RNAcentral.